RNAcentral lists this unclassified non-coding RNA (357 nucleotides) under fungal sp. RNAcentral's name for it is "partial internal transcribed spacer region". The stretch from base 1 to 46 matches the Rfam family "Eukaryotic small subunit ribosomal RNA", at positions 1786 to 1831 of the family's 1831-position model. Lineage: Eukaryota; Fungi. The record is from RNAcentral.
AAGUCGUAACAAGGUUUCCGUAGGUGAACCUGCGGAGGGAUCCUCACAUAGCAAACGCUUUGUAUACCAAUAUUCAAACUCAACGCGAACCGUAACGUCCCUAUUUGAUGGAUGAAUCCUGAGUGCUUGCACUUGAGUGAAAUCAAUCGAGUAGACAAUACCCCCAGAGUUCAUCUCAUCAGACUCGUUUGAUGAGUGGACUCGUUCUUACUCACCAAUUUUUAACCUAUAAUGAAUGAAUUGUCUUAUCUUCAACUUCAGCUAGCAAAUCCAUCUCGACACUUGUGUCAUUUUGGUUUUGUUUGUUUGAAUUUACGAAAUAAUGAACAACUCUUAGUAAUGGAUAUCUUGGGUCAA